RNAcentral lists this ribosomal RNA (523 nucleotides) under Pulvinaria psidii. RNAcentral's name for it is "SSU rRNA". It matches the Rfam family "Eukaryotic small subunit ribosomal RNA", at positions 17 to 513 of the family's 1831-position model. Lineage: Eukaryota; Metazoa; Arthropoda; Insecta; Hemiptera; Coccidae. The record is from RNAcentral.
CCAGUAGUCAUAUGCUUGUCUCAAAGAUUAAGCCAUGCAUGUCUCAGUGCAUGCCGAAUUAAGGUGAAACCGCGAAUGGCUCAUUAAAUCAGUUAUGGUUCCUUAGAUCGUACCCACAUUUACUUGGAUAACUGUGGUAAUUCUAGAGCUAAUACAUGCAAACCAGAGUCCCGACCAGAGAUGGAAGGGACGCUUUUAUUAGAUCAAAACCAAUCGGUGGCGGGCUUCGCGGCUCGUCCAUCGUCAAACUUGGUGACUCUGAAUAACUUUGUGCUGAUCGCACGGUCUCGUACCGGCGACGCAUCUUUCAAAUGUCUGCCUUAUCAACUGUCGAUGGUAGGUUCUGCGCCUACCAUGGUUGUAACGGGUAACGGGGAAUCAGGGUUCGAUUCCGGAGAGGGAGCCUGAGAAACGGCUACCACAUCCAAGGAAGGCAGCAGGCGCGCAAAUUACCCACUCCCGGCACGGGGAGGUAGUGACGAAAAAUAACGAUACGGGACUCAUCCGAGGCCCCGUAAUCGGA